Molecule: ribosomal RNA, 346 nt
Filed under: uncultured bacterium
Lineage: Bacteria
Description: partial 16S ribosomal RNA
Rfam family: Bacterial small subunit ribosomal RNA
Source: RNAcentral
CCUACGGGUGGCAGCAGUGAGGAAUAUUGGUCAAUGGGCGAGAGCCGGAACCAGCCAAGUCGCGUGAAGGAUGAAGGAUCUAUGGUUUGUAAACUUCUUUUAUAGGGGAAUAAAGUGAGGAACGUGUUCCUUUUUGUAUGUACCAUAUGAAUAAGCAUCGGCUAACUCCGUGCCAGCAGCCGCGGUAAUACGGAGGAGGCGAGCAUUAUCCGGAUUUAUUGGGUUUAAAGGGUGCGUAGGGGGUUAAUUAAGUCAGCGGUGAAAGUUUGUGGCUCAACCAUCACAUUGCCGUUGAAACUGGUUGACUUGCUUAUCUUUGCGGUCGGCGGACUGCGUGGUGUAGCGG